UGGAUUCUUUUAGUUAUUUGCUUGGCUAAAUCUCAGGUCUACAUAUUUGAUUCUAUGCAGAAGAAGAGAAAUUUGAUGAUUAAGAACCAAUUGAACCUGGCUUUUCGGACUUACAAGGCACAAAAUGGAAAAUCUAAAGGAACUAAAUUGAAUUGGAUUGCGGCACAGUGUCCUCAACAACCGGGAUCACUAGAGUGUGGCUACUACGUCAUGCGUUUUAUGUACGAUAUAUUUACAAAGCAUCUUGAUAGUCAAGAUCU
Long non-coding RNA from Spinacia oleracea (spinach), 260 nucleotides. RefSeq lists it as uncharacterized. The transcript is spliced from 3 exons. NCBI's taxonomy places the organism in Eukaryota, Viridiplantae, Streptophyta, Magnoliopsida, Caryophyllales, Amaranthaceae. The record is from RefSeq and is a predicted model, not a curated record.